CCUACGGGAGGCAGCAGUGGGGGAUAUUGCACAAUGGGGGAAACCCUGAUGCAGCGACGCCGCGUGUGGGAAGACUGUCCUCUGGAUUGUAAACCACUGUCCCCAGGGACGAAGAUGACGGUACCUGGGGAGGAAGCACCGGCUAACUACGUGCCAGCAGCCGCGGUACUACGUAGGGAGCGAGCGUUGUCCGGAAUUACUGGGUGUAAAGGGAGCGUAGGCGGGACUGCAAGUUGGGUGUCAAGUCUACCGGCUCAACCGGUAGCCGCACUCAAAACUGCAGUUCUUGAGUGAAGUAGAGGCAGGCGGAAUUCCUGGUGUAGCGGUGAAAUGCGUAGAUAUUAGGAGGAACACCAGUGGCGAAGGCGGCCUGCUGGGCUUUUACUGACGCUGAGGCUCGAAAGUGUGGGGAGCAAACAGGAUUAGAUACCCCUGUAGUC
Molecule: ribosomal RNA, 440 nt
Filed under: uncultured bacterium
Lineage: Bacteria
Description: partial 16S ribosomal RNA
Rfam family: Bacterial small subunit ribosomal RNA
Source: RNAcentral